This 552-nucleotide ribosomal RNA is filed under the name Bacillus pumilus. Its description in RNAcentral is "bacterial SSU rRNA". It matches the Rfam family "Bacterial small subunit ribosomal RNA", at positions 75 to 612 of the family's 1533-position model. The record is from RNAcentral. Lineage: Bacteria; Bacillati; Bacillota; Bacilli; Caryophanales; Bacillaceae.
GGAGCUUGCUCCCGGAUGUUAGCGGCGGACGGGUGAGUAACACGUGGGUAACCUGCCUGUAAGACUGGGAUAACUCCGGGAAACCGGAGCUAAUACCGGAUAGUUCCUUGAACCGCAUGGUUCAAGGAUGAAAGACGGUUUCGGCUGUCACUUACAGAUGGACCCGCGGCGCAUUAGCUAGUUGGUGGGGUAAUGGCUCACCAAGGCGACGAUGCGUAGCCGACCUGAGAGGGUGAUCGGCCACACUGGGACUGAGACACGGCCCAGACUCCUACGGGAGGCAGCAGUAGGGAAUCUUCCGCAAUGGACGAAAGUCUGACGGAGCAACGCCGCGUGAGUGAUGAAGGUUUUCGGAUCGUAAAGCUCUGUUGUUAGGGAAGAACAAGUGCGAGAGUAACUGCUCGCACCUUGACGGUACCUAACCAGAAAGCCACGGCUAACUAGGUGCCAGCAGCCGCGGUAAUACGUAUGUGGCAAUCGUUCUCAAUAAUUAUUGGGCGUAAGGGGCUCGGAGGCGCUUUCUUAAGUCUGAUGAAAUUCCCCCCUGCUCAC